Molecule: ribosomal RNA, 253 nt
Filed under: uncultured bacterium
Lineage: Bacteria
Description: partial 16S ribosomal RNA
Rfam family: Bacterial small subunit ribosomal RNA
Source: RNAcentral
UACGUAGGGUGCAAGCGUUGUCCGGAAUUAUUGGGCGUAAAGAGCUCGUAGGCGGUUUGUCGCGUCGGCUGUGAAAACCCGAGGCUCAACCUCGGGCCUGCAGUCGAUACGGGCAAACUAGAGUGCGGUAGGGGAGACUGGAAUUCCUGGUGUAGCGGUGAAAUGCGCAGAUAUCAGGAGGAGCACCGGCGGCGAAGGCGGGUCUCUGGGCCGUAACUGACGCUGAGGAGCGAAAGCGUGGGGAGCGAACAGG